UCUUCAUAUUUAGUGUAAAUCCAAACAGCAACGCUCCUGAGUUUGUGUCCCACGUCACCUUCAGUCCACUCAGAGCAGAGGAAUCAUUUCCAUAGAGAGGAGGCUUUGCAUCGUCAGCUGAUCCUCCACUGAACUGAGAAGCUUUAUAGUCCUGUGACUCCAACUCUGCAGGACUCAGACCCGUCAGUCGACCACAACCACCAUGACUCUCAUCACCCUCCUCAUCUGGACGCUGGCCUGCUGCAGCUUCACAGGAUGCAGCGGCCAGGUGACUGUGACUCAGCCUCCAGUCGUGACAUUUACUCCAGGAUCCACUGUCACUCUGACCUGUAAAACCAACCCCAGUGUUUAUAACAAUGGUAUUUAUGAUUUUAUGUCCUGGUACCAGCAGAAACCUGGACAGGCUCCACAGCUCCUAAUAUUCUGGGUGGAUAAUGAACAAUCAGGAACACUAGCUCGGUUUAGUGGCAGUGGAAGCAGCUCUGACUUCUCUUUAACCAUCAGUGGAGUUCAGAGUGAAGAUGCAGCAGUUUACUACUGUCAGAGCUUCCAUGUAGUAAGCGGAGCACAUGUGUGGACUUUCGGUGGAGGAACCAAACUCGACAAAGACUUGGGUGUGGUGCGGCCCACCCUGACCCUCCUCCCCCCCUCCAGUGAAGAGCUGAAGCAGGGCACUGCCACUCUGGUGUGUAUGGCCAGCGGGGGCUUCCCCUCAGCCUGGAGCCUGGGCUGGAAGGUGGGGGGCAGCAGCAGGUCCUCAGGGGUGUCUCACAGCCUGGGGGUCCUGGGGGGGGCUGGCCACUACAGCUGGAGCAGCACCUUGAGCCUCCCUGCAGAUCAGUGGAGGAAGGCGGGCUCAGUGAGCUGUGAGGCCAGUCUGGACGGACAGAGCCCUGUCACUCAAACCCUGGACCCUGACCUCUGCUCGGAGUAGAGAGACGACCGGAUGGAGUCAUUGUGCUCUACUGUGGGUCCGUUUGAUUUACAUGUGUUCUACUGCAGCUCUGCAUGUCUUCAUGUCUUUUCUUCAACUCAUUAUGACAGUCCAAUGCUGUAUUGUGCUACUUUUGAAACAAGAAUAAAUAUUUCAUGUUCUCAUGUCAUUUGUUUUUCACAUUUCUAAUUUUACUUCACUAAAAUAAAAUAUAUCAUCACCAA
Non-coding RNA from Pleuronectes platessa (European plaice), 1158 nucleotides. NCBI's taxonomy places the organism in Eukaryota, Metazoa, Chordata, Actinopteri, Pleuronectiformes, Pleuronectidae. The record is from the annotation of a RefSeq genome assembly.